AUCUAUAUAAUUUAUAAAAAUAUUUUACUUUCACUAAAAAAAAAGACUAAAAUCUUAUAGAUU
Molecule: transfer RNA, 63 nt
Filed under: Cofana yasumatsui
Lineage: Eukaryota; Metazoa; Arthropoda; Insecta; Hemiptera; Cicadellidae
Description: tRNA-Glu
Source: RNAcentral